This 492-nucleotide ribosomal RNA is filed under the name uncultured bacterium. RNAcentral describes it as "partial 16S ribosomal RNA". It matches the Rfam family "Bacterial small subunit ribosomal RNA", at positions 29 to 507 of the family's 1533-position model. The record is from RNAcentral.
AGUGAACGCUGGCGGUAGGCCUAACACAUGCAAGUCGAACGGCAGCACAGUAAGAGCUUGCUCUUACGGGUGGCGAGUGGCGGACGGGUGAGGAAUACAUCGGAAUCUACUUUUUCGUGGGGGAUAACGUAGGGAAACUUACGCUAAUACCGCAUACGACCUACGGGUGAAAGCAGGGGAACUUCGGACCUUGCGCGAUUGAAUGAGCCGAUGUCGGAUUAGCUAGUUGGCGGGGUAAAGGCCCACCAAGGCGACGAUCCGUAGCUGGCCUGAGAGGAUGAUCAGCCCCACUGGAACUGAGACACGGUCCAGACUCCUACGGGAGGCAGCAGUGGGGAAUAUUGGACAAUGGGCGCAAGCCUGAUCCAGCCCUACCGCGUGGGUGAAGAAGGCCUUCGGGUUGUAAAGCCCUUUUGUUGGGAAAGAAAAGCAGCAGGUUAAUACCCCGCUGUUCUGACGGUACCCAAAGAAUAAGCACCGGCUAACUUCGUG